CUCAUCACAGCCACAGCCAGGGGAUUCCCCCAGUCUGAUCCCGUCCAGUUGUCUCAACAACCAUGUUCUUGUAUUUACACCUUUCUAAACAAAGCUGAAGUGGACUAAGACUGCUUAUUCAUGCUCUCCUCGCAAGUCACUCUCACACUGAUGUCAUCCAGUAAAGCCGAACUGAUGGGAAUUGAAAAGCCUUUUUUUUUAAAAUAGCACUUUAAGGACCCACAGAGUCAUGUCCGAAUGUGAUGCUGCUGAGUGCUGCAAAUGUGCCCACUGCCGAGAUCCCAACAAAAGAGACGCCACGGUGGAGGCGCUCGGCCGGCCCCGCAGCUCGGACAAUAGUCCUCUGUUCCAAAUAUGCUGUUUGUCACAUCGCCUUCCUUUAACUUGUCAAUAGUGCUGUUGUCAUUCCAAACUUCAACUUUAUCCCACAUCCUAUGCUGCAGGGUCUGAGGUUUCACCUUUAGCUGGAUUUAAACUGAACACAGGUUUAUGUUUUGUGUGUAUUCACCCAUCUUUACUGAGAUACUUUUAAAUAAAGUCCAGCACAAUUUGUGACUUG
This is a long non-coding RNA of Poecilia reticulata (guppy), 559 nucleotides long. RefSeq lists it as uncharacterized. The record is from RefSeq and is a predicted model, not a curated record. Lineage: Eukaryota; Metazoa; Chordata; Actinopteri; Cyprinodontiformes; Poeciliidae.